CCCUUGUGUAACCAUGUUAAGACCUCGAUCGAGGUUUUGUUAAACCCUCAAUCAAGCUAUUUCAAAUUUUACCUUAAGCACUUUAUCAAUAUUUUGAAGUGCACGAUCGGGUUGUUGAGGGCAUAAAAACUAGAGUUUUAGUUCCCCUUCUCCGAGUUUCUCUGCAACACCAUUUUGUACCCUAACAAAAUUUAGGCAAAAUUUGUAAAGCAAGCUAAUUCGCGUUGUUCGGUGAGCCCACGUAGUAUCAGGUUAGUUGGUUAGGUAAAGGCUGACCAAGCCAAUGAUGCUUAGCUGGUUUUUUCGGAUGAUCAGCCACACUAGGACUAAGACACAACCCAGACUCCCUUGGGGAGUAGAAGUGGGGGAUAUUGGACAAUGGGCUCACGCCUAAUCCAACAAUAUCGCAUGGGUGAAGAAGGGAAUUGUCGCUUUUCAAGCUUUUUCGUCGAGUUUUGAUCAUGACAAGACUCGAGGAAGAAGCCCCAGCUAACUCUGUGCCAACAGCCGCGGUAAUACGGGGGGGCAAGUGUUAUUCGGAAUGAACUGGGCCGUAAAGGGCACGUAGGCGUGAAAAGGGUGGAAAAGUGAAAGUCGCCAAAACUGCGGGGUGCUUUCUGACCAUUCACUUGAGUGAGAUAGGGGAAGUGGAUAAUUCUGUGAAGGAUCAAAUCCUAAGAUAUACGAAGGAACGCCAACAGCGAAGGUAGCUCUCUGGGUCCCCACUGACGUUGGGGUGCGAAAGCAUGGGAGCAAACAGGAUCAGAUACCGUGGUAGUCCAUGCUCUAAACGAUGAGUGUUUGUCCUUGGUCUGCCUACCUACUAGGUAGGAUUAGGAUCAGGGGCCCAGCUACGCGCUGAACCACUCCGCCUGGAGAGUACGGUCGCAAGACUGCAAACUCAAAGCGAUAUUGACGGGGGGCCUGCCCCACAAGCCGGUGGAGCAUGUGCGGUUUAAUUCGAUACAACGCGCAGAACCUUUAUCCAGCUGCUUGUACAUAUUGAAACAAGUGUGUGCCGUGUCCUUAACGGGAUGGCUGUCCUAAAAUUCAUACAGGUGUUGCAUGGUUAUCGUCAGCUCGUGCCGUGAGAUGUUUGGUUAAGUCAUAUAACGAGCGAAACCCUCAUUUUUUGAUGUUGAAACAUGCGCUAAUGGAUCAAUGUCAUCACCCCUUCUCAAGGGCAAGGGUGAGUAAGCGAACUCUCGAAGGCAAGCACAUAUUUUUGAUUGAUGACACUUCCCUAUGGAAGGAGGUGCGUGCUUGCACUCACAAGAGACUGCCAGUGAUACGCUGGAGGAAGGUGGGGAUGACAUCAAGUCUACAUCUAACACUUGAUAUAUAAAGGGCAAAGGAAAAUGAUCUUUUAAAGUAGAUUUAUUCAAUUCUCGAUAAUCAGUACAUACCCUCCAUUUACCAUUCUUUUU
RNAcentral lists this ribosomal RNA (1427 nucleotides) under Pinus taeda (loblolly pine). Its description in RNAcentral is "bacterial SSU rRNA". It matches the Rfam family "Bacterial small subunit ribosomal RNA", at positions 126 to 1280 of the family's 1533-position model. Lineage: Eukaryota; Viridiplantae; Streptophyta; Pinopsida; Pinales; Pinaceae. The record is from RNAcentral.